RNAcentral lists this unclassified non-coding RNA (250 nucleotides) under Hevea brasiliensis (rubber tree). Lineage: Eukaryota; Viridiplantae; Streptophyta; Magnoliopsida; Malpighiales; Euphorbiaceae. The record is from RNAcentral.
GCUUCUUCUUUCGCCGGUGUUCAGUUCUCUGCUUGGAGAAAUGGCUGAAGAAACAAAGGCAGAGGCUAUUAUCCCUGAAUCUGUGUUGAAGAAAAGGAAGAGAAGUGAGGAGUGGGCUUUGUUAAAGAACCAAGAACUGAAGGCAAAGAAGGAAAAAAAUGCUGAAAAUAGAAAGAUAAUCUUCAAGAGGGCUGAGAAAUAUAGCAAAGAAUAUAGAGAACAGGAAAGAGAGUUGAUAAGAUUGAAAAGA